CUGGUGGUGGCUGGACUCAUUAUGCAAUAUGGUUUCUGAGGGCCAAUUACUGGAGUGAAGGGCUAGUUAAGAUGGCCAUUAGAUGGGGUCCAGAUGGCUUGAAAGAUGCUGUCCCAGCCCAUAAGACAGAGAAAGAAAUCAGACUCAAGCGUACCUAACUCAAAACACAACAGUUAACAACCAACUUCUUUACUUCAAAGUAGCACGAAACUGGACUCCUGAACUUGGUCAUUUGUGCCCUGCAUGUGGUCAACUCUAUGUUGCCAGGAAGUCUGCUAAGCAGGAGUAGACCUCACCCACCCACCCAUGUGGCCUGCACAUUUCGGUUAUCUUCAUAUAGCAGAACACUUACAGGGAUGGGCUCCAGAGCUGGAAUACCUGGAUUCUACCACUGUGUGACCUUGAGAAAGCUCACACUCCCAGCUAAGUGUGCCAGCUUCCUCCUUGGUAACAUGCAGAUAAUCUUAGCUUCUAGCUCAGGGUUAUUGGGAAAGUCAAUGAACUAAUGCAUGCUAAGGACUUAUAGAACAAUAUUCAAUAAACACAAGUUAUUUUGAGCCACUCAGACCUAAUACCAUAGAUGAUGACUUGAAACCAUCCUGUGUGAGGGAUGGUGUAAGAUGGCAGGGUUUGGGGUAUUCCAGAAGCUCAGCUGCCAACAUGAAAUGAUGGGCCCAAGGCAAGUCGGACACAGUUCCUUUGCAAUCCUGUUCCAACUAUGACAUGGAAUCAUGGACCCAGAUGCUGCCCAAUCUGCUGGCCCAGCUUGGCUUCACUAGUAACCCAAGAUCACCCAGGAAGAUCAAAGAAAACCCAUCCUUGUCCAGCCAGAGAUUGCUCAAGAGGCCAGUGACUUUUCCAUCAGGGAACGGAAUAUUCAUUUGAUGGUUAGCCCUGAAGAAGAACACAGAACUGAACUCUUCCCUCCAACAUAUAUUAAGGACCAACAAUACACCAAAGCUGGGUAACCAAGGAGCCAGGAUGCAGAAAUGAAGACCUGAUCACAGUAUUAAAGAACUUGAUGUCCGGUGGGGGAAAGACCUGAAAAUCCACAGAAAAUUAUAUGGGGCUAUUAAUUUGUUUAUUGUUCUCAUAAGAAUUUGACAGGAUUAUAAAAAAGAACAAUGUAAUUUUACAAAUAAUCUUGUCAAACAUGUGUCUUAAUUCAUUUUUAUCUUUACAUAUAAAUAAAUUGUCUCAAUGAAAAAAAAUGUAAAAGAACAAUAAAAACAUGAACAAUGGAGAGAUGAAAUGAAAUGUAAAAUAUAUAAAUGCAUGAAUAGGAUGAAAUGUGGGGAAAAAGGAGACACUAGAGAAUAAGAUGUGGCAGGGGGUUAGAUUAGUGGGUAGAAUCAAGAGAUGGGCUUUAGAGCCUUGGCUCCUCCUCUUCCAAACACUGUGAGCUUGAGAAGGAUAGUCUACCUUGCUAUGUCUCUGCUUCCACAUCGAUAAAAUGAACAAAAAAAUGAUGGGGAUUUUGAGAUGAAUGAGUGACAGCACAACUACAAAGCACCUUGUAGAUAGUAGUUGCUUAUUAGAGGUGGGAGCAUGAUUUCCAUGGUGGGCUAAUGGUACUAAGCCUGAGAUCACAAUGCAUUGCCAUCUGCCUCUCCUCCGGAAACUACUCCUAACAGUAAGAAACAGGACAUUGCUUUAUUAAUACCUGAUAGUAUUUGAUAACCCAGCCAGUGUUCAAUGACACCAAAUGCUGAAUUGUCUGAUAGAGUUGACUUGAUCUUGGGACAUCAGUGAGCCUCCUGCUCCUAUACCCUAAUGACAAAUUCCCAGUUAGACUCACUUCCUCAUUUUGGAUAAGGAGGAGUCAGAAGAGGAAACAAAAAGAAAGGAAGAAAAAAAAAGAAGAUACCUGUUUCAGGCCACCCUGUAGAGGAUGACUCCAUCUCAGUCUUCUUAUAUGGAGACAGGAAGUGGAAGAAGGAACUCUUGUGGGUAGAAAAGCACCAUAGAGGAAUAUAUCACUCAUCUAAAAGGUCUGAGGACUUGAUUAUUUAGAUUAGAAGCUCAUACAUAUAGUUGAGGUGAGUAUGGAGGACUUAAUGAGAGUAAGAAGCAUGGAGAGAGAGGUGAGAUAUUUUGCCCUAAGAAGAGUCAAGAAAAAUAUCCAGAAUGGACAUGUGGCAUCUCUUAUUAAAGACAGCUCCACAGAUGUCAAAACACUGCACCUUUCCUUCAAUUUCCAUUUUCAUUUCCAUCAACUCUAAUCACCUCCCAACACCCCCUUCCUCACCAAGCAUACAUGUACACCAUUUCAGUCAGACAUUGGAUUGGCUCUUGACUUCUUACCAUCAGAUUUCUAUGUGAAAGAGACAUAUAUUUCUCCUUUGUGUGAAUUGCUGUUAGUUUGAACUCUGCUACAACUCAACUUAACUCUAAAUGAUAUAAGACUAGGAGCCAUGUUUUAAAUAUCAGAAUUGAGAAACAUAAUUCAAAGUUAUGAGCCUUUGAAAAAUAUACAGAUAAGUAACUUAAGAUUAGGUUCAUAAAAUCUUUGUGCUUGUUAUAAUUUCAAACCAAGAAGAGUCUUUGAACCUCCAAUGGGUAUCAGGUACUAACUACACUGGACAUUACAAAAAUCAAGGGAUAAGUGAAAUAUUACACCUUCCCUUUAAAAAAUUUGAAGGAUGAGACAACUGCAGAAGGAUUUGCUUCAUGUAUCAGAUGAGGCAUUCUGCUUUGUAGAGGAAACAACAUUUGGAAUGGAUAUGAGAGUAUGGGUAUGAUUUCAGAGAAGUAGUUCAGGAGGUCGUGUUUCUUGAAGAGUUCACAAUAAGAUUCAAGGGCAUGAGUGGAAAACCACUCUCCUCCAUGUCAGUAUUUCCUUUAAUAUCAUCCUCAUUUAGUAAAAGAAUCUCCUUGGUUGCUUAAUCAUGUGAAUUUGAUUCCACAGUUCCUAUUAUCUGUAUGACCUUGGUUAACUCACUUAUCAUCUCUGAAACUCUAUUUCCAAUUUGUAAAAGAGGAAUAAUGAAAUCUGCUGAGUAGAGACUAUUAUGUGUGUACUCCUGGGCACACAGCCAAACUACAUUUCCCUGCCUCCCUUUCUGUUAAGAUGAGGUCAUGUAACUGAGUUCUAGCCAAUGGAAUGUGAGUAAAUGGAUCUGCAUCAUUUCCAGAACAAGGAGGCCCUUCUAGGCAUCUAUGUCUCUUUAUGCUGUUUUCCUUUCUGUUGAGUGGAUUAAUAGUGUGAUAAGAAAAAAAAUGGAGUUCCUGUUAUGGCUUAGUGGAUUAAGAACCCAACUGGUAUUCAUGAGGAUGUGUGUUCAAUCCCUGGCCUCAUUCAGUGGGUCAAGGAUCCAGUGUUGCUGCAGGCUACAGCGUAGUUUGCAGAAGUAGCUAGGAUCCAGUGUUGCCAUGGCUGUGGCUUAGGCCAGCAUCUGUAGCUUGGAUUGGACCCCUAGCCUGGGAACUUCCAUAUGCCUCAGGUGUGGCC
Molecule: long non-coding RNA, 3451 nt
Filed under: Sus scrofa (pig)
Lineage: Eukaryota; Metazoa; Chordata; Mammalia; Artiodactyla; Suidae
Description: lncRNA (ENSSSCG00000058072.1)
Source: RNAcentral